Ylistrum balloti is the source of this 1569-nucleotide long non-coding RNA. RefSeq lists it as uncharacterized. The record is from RefSeq and is a predicted model, not a curated record. The transcript has 2 exons. NCBI's taxonomy places the organism in Eukaryota, Metazoa, Mollusca, Bivalvia, Pectinida, Pectinidae.
ACACUAUCGCUGUUGGAAUCACAUCACCGAAAACGCUACCUUAUAGUAAUUAUCUAUUUUCAUAGUUUUAAUUUACAAUAAGUACAGGAUGUACAACAUACGACGAGCAGCACAACGAUCAACAUUGGAGCUGUGAAGACCAGUCAGCACUUAGCAAACUACGACAAGUUGGAUUGGUAGCUUGAUCGAUUGCAGUCUUAUUUUUUCUGUAAUUUUUUUUGAUAACGACAAAUCACUCUUUUUCUGUCUCUAACAAGUUUGAAAAAGAUUUUAAGAAACUGAAGAUGUUUCUGAAGGAUUCGAAAUCGAUUAGUGAGAACAUGAAAGAAAAAAAUGUGCAUGGACGUUCAGGUAACAUCACAAGAAAUCCAAGUAAAGCGAUGUCUUGUAUACGAAACCCAAUCACCAUCAAGAAUUCCAAAGUGACAAUGUGUGUGCUUCUCGUGUUGCUGAACUUUGCUAUACAGGACGUGCAGGCGGUACCAUGCAGAGGUGGAUGUCAAAACAAUGGUAUGAUGAUUAUGCCCACCUCCCUGUUUGGGUACUGCCGGUGUGUAUGUAUAGGGCCAUAUGCAGGACCCACAUGCGAAUUUAAAACCAAACGACGGGUCAAAAUACGAAAACUCAUCAAGAUUAAGGGCACACUAAAGGAACUGAUACAACGACGAAUGGAACAGAAAGAAUGAAAAUCUAUAAGCUGUCCAGAUAAAAGACCUUUAGGGACUGCUGCGACCCAACAUUCCAGACCCCCGCUACGGUAGCCUCUCCAGUGCUAGGUCCGAGGCGUGAUUACUCAAAGUCCAUGAUGAAUAACCGCUGGACAGGCACAUCAGUCGAGAGUACCUGACUCCUUCCUGGGGUACAGACACACGGAACCUCCCUCGUACACUUCCCUUUUCUGGGGAAUGGAACUGUUGUCUUCUCUUUGUGAAUUAGCAACUCCUGUGUUCUAUAAAAUGGACCUGUCUCUUGAUGGUGAACCAACUCCCGCGUUACAUCAUCCCGAACGGACUGCUAGUGAACUAACUUACUGAUUCUGUUAAUUGGAACUCACACUUCUUAAACAACCUUACCCGUUCUAUCAACCGGAAUGACGUCUGUUAGUGAACGAACUAUCUUUCUCCUUUGGGAUAAAAUUGUAUAUCUACUCUUGAACAGAAAACAUCCCUUUCCAGCGGGUACAAAUGCUUUUCGGCUGAAAAGGCUAUGUUUGCAUUGAAUUAAUAUGUAAUUUUGUUCCACAAAAUAGCGAUUUCUAUACACCUUACUCAGCAACUCUAAAAAUAUAAUCUUGCCUUCAACAAGUGGACCAGUGACGAUCCUCUUAAAAGAGUAAACAUGUUUCUGAGCAAAUAUUCCUUUACAGGAGUCUGUCUCUGCCUAACAACCACUCAGCCAGCUUUAGCCUUAGGUAGUGACGUGUUUUCAAUGCAAAGUUGUUUCAUGUUUUUUUUACAAAUUUUAUUUUUGUUAAUUUAUUGAACGUUUUCAUGUUAUGUGGUGUUAUGCAAAUUCAUUGUACCUUAAGUAUGAGAAUGACAUAAAUCAUUAAAGUGAAUGAACGCAUAA